Molecule: ribosomal RNA, 506 nt
Filed under: uncultured bacterium
Lineage: Bacteria
Description: partial 16S ribosomal RNA
Rfam family: Bacterial small subunit ribosomal RNA
Source: RNAcentral
AUUGAACGCUGGCGGCAGGCCUAACACAUGCAAGUCGAACGGCAGCACAGUAGAGCUAGCUCUUUGGGUGGCGAGUGGCGGACGGGUGAGUAAUUUCUGGGAAACUGCCCGAUGGAGGGGGAUAACUAUUGGAAACGGUAGCUAAUACCGCAUAACGUCGCAAGACCAAAGUGGGGGACCUUCGGGCCUCACAGCAUCAGAUGCGCCCAGAUGGGAUUAGCGAGUAGGUGGGGUAAUGGCUCACCUAGGCAACGAUCCCUAGCUGGUCUGAGAGGAUGACCAGCCACACUGGAACUGAGGCACGGUCCAGACUCCUACGGGAGGCAGCAGUGGGGAAUAUUGCACAAUGGGCGCAAGCCUGAUGCAGCCAGGCCGCGUGUAUGAAGAAGGCCUUCGGGUUGUAAAGUACUUUCAGCGGGGAGGAAGGCGGUGAGGUUAAUAACCUCGCCGAUUGACGUUACCCGCAGAAGAAGCACCGGCUAACUCCGUGCCAGCAGCCGCAGUAA